This 373-nucleotide ribosomal RNA is filed under the name uncultured bacterium. Its description in RNAcentral is "bacterial SSU rRNA". It matches the Rfam family "Bacterial small subunit ribosomal RNA", at positions 524 to 896 of the family's 1533-position model. The record is from RNAcentral.
UACGGAGGGGGCUAGCGUUGUUCGGAAUUACUGGGCGUAAAGCGUACGUAGGCGGCUAUUCAAGUCAGAGGUGAAAGCCCGGGGCUCAACUCCGGAACUGCCUUUGAAACUAGGUAGCUAGAAUCACGGAGAGGUAAGUGGAAUUCCGAGUGUAGAGGUGAAAUUCGUAGAUAUUCGGAAGAACACCAGUGGCGAAGGCGGCUUACUGGACGUGUAUUGACGCUGAGGUACGAAAGCGUGGGGAGCAAACAGGAUUAGAUACCCUGGUAGUCCACGCCGUAAACGAUGAGAACUAGCUGUCAGGGCCCUUAGGGCUUUGGUGGCGCAGCUAACGCAUUAAGUUCUCCGCCUGGGGAGUACGGCCGCAAGGUUA